This 492-nucleotide ribosomal RNA is filed under the name uncultured bacterium. Its description in RNAcentral is "partial 16S ribosomal RNA". It matches the Rfam family "Bacterial small subunit ribosomal RNA", at positions 28 to 507 of the family's 1533-position model. The record is from RNAcentral.
GAUGAACGCUAGCUACAGGCUUAACACAUGCAAGUCGAGGGGAAACGGCAUUAAGUGCUUGCACUUUUUGGACGUCGACCGGCGCACGGGUGAGUAACGCGUAUCCAACCUUCCCAUGACUAAGGGAUAACCUGCCGAAAGGCAGACUAAUACCUUAUGGUCUUCACUGACGGCAUCAGAUGUGAAGUAAAGAUUUAUCGGUUAUGGAUGGGGAUGCGUCUGAUUAGCUUGUUGGCGGGGUAACGGCCCACCAAGGCAACGAUCAGUAGGGGUUCUGAGAGGAAGGUCCCCCACAUUGGAACUGAGACACGGUCCAAACUCCUACGGGAGGCAGCAGUGAGGAAUAUUGGUCAAUGGGCGAGAGCCUGAACCAGCCAAGUAGCGUGCAGGAGGACGGCGCUAUGGGUUGUAAACUGCUUUUGUAUGGGGAUAAAGUCAAUCACGUGUGAUUGUUUGCAGGUACCAUACGAAUAAGGACCGGCUAAUUCCGUG